This is a transfer RNA of 84 nucleotides. It matches the Rfam family "tRNA". From Rfam's summary of the family: Transfer RNA (tRNA) molecules are approximately 80 nucleotides in length. Their secondary structure includes four short double-helical elements and three loops (D, anti-codon, and T loops).
GCCGGUGUGGCGGAAUUGGUAGACGCAGCGGAUUCAAAAUCCGCCGCUGUAACAGGCGUGUCGGUUCGAGUCCGACCACCGGCA